This 244-nucleotide long non-coding RNA is filed under the name Eucalyptus grandis. RNAcentral's name for it is "long non-coding RNA (EGRA_LNC006016)". The record is from RNAcentral. Lineage: Eukaryota; Viridiplantae; Streptophyta; Magnoliopsida; Myrtales; Myrtaceae.
AGUGAUCGUGUGAUGGUUAUGAGAAAUCGUCCCGGGCUGUUGAGCUGGACGUUAUCCCUAUUUGGGAUACCCCCUGGACAACGGGAAGCCGGUCGCAGUUGAUUCUGGACCCUAUGCUCCUUCUGGAAAGCCGUCUGAUAAAGAGAUGUGCCGUGCUCAAUGGGGUGAGACGAAGCCUGGCAAUGCCAGAAGACCGCCGAACUGAGAGUAGGCCGUGCUAUAUGCCGAGAUCAAAACUAGGAAC